Molecule: ribosomal RNA, 320 nt
Filed under: uncultured eukaryote
Lineage: Eukaryota
Description: partial 18S ribosomal RNA
Rfam family: Eukaryotic small subunit ribosomal RNA
Source: RNAcentral
CCCUUAGAUGUUCUGGGCCGCACGCGCGCUACACUGACUACUUCAACGAGUUGUUUCCUUGAUCGAAAGGUCUGGGUAAUCUUUGAACGCUGUUCGUGAUUGGGAUAGACCUUUGCAAUUAUGGGUCUUCAACGAGGAAUUCCUAGUAAACGCAAGUCAUCAGCUUGCAUUGAUUACGUCCCUGCCCUUUGUACACACCGCCCGUCGCACCUACCGAUUGAAUGGUCCGGUGAAAUCUCGGGACGGCGGCUUGGUCGCUUGCGUCCGACUGCUGAAACUUGAUUAAACCAUAUCAUUUAGAGGAAGGUGAANUCGUANCA